Molecule: ribosomal RNA, 446 nt
Filed under: uncultured bacterium
Lineage: Bacteria
Description: partial 16S ribosomal RNA
Rfam family: Bacterial small subunit ribosomal RNA
Source: RNAcentral
CCUACGGGGGGCUGCAGUCGAGAAUCAUUCACAAUGGGGGAAACCCUGAUGGUGCGACGCCGCGUGGGGGAAUGAAGGUCUUCGGAUUGUAAACCCCUGUCAUGUGGGAGCAAAUUAAAAAGAUAGUACCACAAGAGGAAGAGACGGCUAACGCGGUGCCAGCAGCCGCGGUAAUACAGAGGUCUCAAGCGUUGUUCGGAAUCACUGGGCGGAAAGCGUGCGUAGGCGGGUUCGUAAGUCGUGUGUGAAAGGCGCGGGCUCAACCCGCGGACGGCACAUGAUACUGCGAGACUAGAGUAAUGGAGGGGGAACCGGAAUUCUCGGUGUAGCAGUGAAAUGCGUAGAUAUCGAGAGGAACACUCGUGGCGAAGGCGGGUUCCUGGACAUUAACUGACGCUGAGGCACGAAGGCCAGGGGAGCGAACGGGAUUAGAUACCCGUGUAGUC